AUUCGGGUAAGAAAUUUAAAAGUAAUGCUUCCAAAACCAAGAAAAGUGAUUCCAAAAAACAUAAAAAACGAGUCAUGAUUCCACCCCUGAAAUUUAUGGAACACUCACCAUUGCCUUUUAUAACCACUUCAACAAUUUCCCAUAACCUUUUACACGAUAAAGUGGGUGAUUUUUCUCUCCCACUGCUGUAUCUUAUAGACCCUCUUUGCUUCACGUGAAUCUUUGUCCUUUUCAGCUUUUCUUUUCUUAAUCUUAAAUUAUGAAAACACUUUCUUGAAAUAAAAUCAGAUUAAAAACAAAAACACACCCGCACAUAGAGCGCAUUUUCUUUUUCUUGCUUUUACAAGUUUCAACUUGACCCGAUAUUUCGGAGCCGAAACGUCAAGUGUUCCGAAAUUUCGUAAUGGGUCGGUUACCAGAGACAGUCGUUGAAGCUAAACGACGACGCUUCGAGGUGGUCGAACGGCCACCCAGUUGGGAUCGAUCCACAGAGGUGGUUGUGGCUCAGAUCCAGGUGGCCGAUAUACGCAGCCGAUGACAAAGAUUUCGGUAUCUGACCCUUGAGGUUGUUGUACGAUAAAUCCAGUCCUAUGAAGUACGUUUUCGACCCGAAAACGUCUGGUAAUUUGCCUUCGAGCGAGUUUCGGCUGAGGUUGAGGAUGUUGAGUCCGGUGUUGCUCAGUAGAGAUGCCGGGAUGGAACCGGAGAGUCUGUUGCUGUCGAGGUUGAGAGUGGAGAGAACCGGCAUUGAACCGAGUUCAGCCGGGAUCACACCGGAGAUUUGGUUUACGGAGAGGUCAAAAUCGGCGAGCCGGUAAAGGCCUGAGAUGGAGCUCGGAAUGGUGCCGGUGAGCUGGUUCCGGCCGAGCAUGGCUCGGCUCAGCAUCGUGAGUUUUCCGAAAUCCUGCGGAAUUCCGCCGGUGAUCUGGUUGUUCCGGAGGUCCAGGUGCAUUAGUGACGCGAGGUUCACAACCGACGCCGGAAUGCUGCCGGAGAUCGAGUUAUCCGCCACGUUCAGAACCGUCAGUCGCUGCAACUUCCCGAUGUCCGCCGGGAUCACACCGGUGAUCUUGUUCCCGACGAGGUCGAGGAUCCGAAGCUUGCUGAGCGACGAAAUGCACGGUGGAAUCUCGCCAGAGAUGCCCUUCCAGUCCGCGAUUAUCAGCGUGGUGAGGCUGUCCAGCUUGCAAAUGGAAGGCGAGAUCGCGCCAGUCAUGUAGCCAGACCGGCCGGCGCGCUCAAAGAUCGGAUCCUCCGACUCCCCCCGGAGGUUAAUGUCUGCGACACGACCGGCGGAGUCACAGCUGAUGCCGAACCAGCUGGAGCAGCAGUCGUUGCCGGACCAGCUCUUGAAGAUUCCCAAGUAGGGCUCGUUCAAUGCAGCUUUGAAGUCCAGCAGAGCCUGCCGGUCUGCCGGCGUACAAGAUUCGACGCCGGUAGCGCCAGCGACGAUAAGGGCCGUGAGGAACAAGAAGAGUUUCAUUCCUCUGUGUGCUUAGAGUGUGAUGCGGUGUUUGACUGUGACUGGACAGUGAGGGUGUUUAGUGGCGGGGAUGGGUAGUUGCAGUGUUACGUGGGUGGAGGGAGGAGGAUGAUGCACCAGGCAUGGGCUGAUGGGUUUGCCUAUAUACACAAUAUUUGGACGAAAAUGCCCCUGUCUUGGGUUACAAUUACGCUUUAUAGA
RNAcentral lists this long non-coding RNA (1684 nucleotides) under Vitis vinifera (wine grape). RNAcentral's name for it is "long non-coding RNA (VVIN_LNC004386)". The record is from RNAcentral. Lineage: Eukaryota; Viridiplantae; Streptophyta; Magnoliopsida; Vitales; Vitaceae.